Long non-coding RNA from Cephus cinctus (wheat stem sawfly), 4839 nucleotides. RefSeq lists it as uncharacterized. The transcript has 3 exons. Lineage: Eukaryota; Metazoa; Arthropoda; Insecta; Hymenoptera; Cephidae. The record is from RefSeq and is a predicted model, not a curated record.
GAGAGUGAGUGAGUGAGAAAGGGAGAGGUGUGUAUAAAUAAAAAAGACAAUGAGAAGGAGAAAGAGAAAGCUAAGACAAAGUACACUCUUGAAAAACUUAGCUAGACGAAAGCAACGUCGUUGGCACAGAAAAGCACACUGUUGAGAUUUCCGUAUAUUCGAAGAGAUGUCAGAAAUCGCGCCUCCUUCCGGUAUAACACGUACACGUUGUACACGAGAUCAGCACAAGCAACCGUGAGUCUUACGUCUUUCUAAAUUCCUAUAUUGUUCAUCGAUCGAGAAACCUGAGCAGUUUGGUUAGGAUCGCGUGCACACGAUGCGUCCAGUGCGUCCGGUACUUUCGAAGCAUUCGGAACGUAAGUGGAAAUGGCGUUGUAAUAUUGAAGAAAAAGAUGUGACCGAGAACAAGGAUAAGGACGAGGAUAAGGAGGGGAUCAAAGUUUGUUAUAAAGAAUGGAGAAAACAAGAGGGAAAGAUGCUCUCGAGCGUCUUUUAAGGACGCAAGAUACUCGCGAGCUCAAUCCUCGCGAUUUCUAGCGUUUUGAGGUUAAGGACGAACGCGUGUCGCGUCGGCGAGUCCAGUACAGAGACGAGAAAACGCGACGAAAUUUAAUUCUCGAGUUGCGAGAGAUCUCUGCUUAUCACGGAUCGCAGAUAGGGUCACGAUAACGGAGAGUACUAUGUUGAGUUCACACUUGUGUUGCAUCGACUCGGUAAGGCUUUGGUCACGCGCAACGGCACAGACCCGUGCAGCAACGCCGUCCGUAACUGCCGUCUCGUUUACGGCCAGCGAGAAGGAUGCACCCCUGAUGCGGUACCGAGAAGGAACCACCGCCGCUGCUGAUGCUGUUGCUGUUUCUGAUGCUGUUGCUGCUCCCGUCGUACAGCGCCGUCAACCCGGAUAACAUCCUCCAGGACUCUCUCGAAUCGAGAACGGGUGGAUUCCCGCAGGAUCUACCAACCACCGCUACCACUCGAGAUCUUUCUACGGUUAUCAUAUUAGCGUGCACCCACGUCUUCCUCCAGCUCCUUCGACGCCUCCACCUUUGACUUCCUCCUUUCCACUUCCUAGCUGGUUCACGUCACGCUUCGUCACGAGAGAGCCGCACUCCGUGUCACCCUUGCACUACGCGACACGCGCAUUUCCCGGGACGCGCUUACGCUGAACCACGUCGACGGAGAUUAUGACAAUAAUCGCUAUUAGCACAACACCGGCGACAGCGACGACGACGACGUUCUCGUGAAAUCAGACGACGGGAACAACGAGGAUUAUUACCACGACAGUGUAACCAAAACGCGGACGACGGUGAUGUUGCGGAAUCUGUGCCAGUUAACUCUCGUUUCUCCGGUACUUCUUUUUAUAUUAUUCUUGAUUCACUACGAGUUCACCUCCUCGAUGAAAGUGUUACUUGCGAGCUUACGCGGACUGCCCGACGUCGAGCACUGUGCGAACGGAGACGCCUCCGACACGCCGCCGCCAUCUUGCUACGUCAACGGCGCCCCACAGCGACGACGCCCCCGAGAACGCUCGACGGAUUUCACGGAAGUACCCGAAGGGUAACCGUCCUCCUCCACUCUCUAUCGUCGUUCUCCUAUAUACAUACCCGCCACUACUCUAUCGAGCUUUUCACUUCGAAACUCCUCUUCCAGACGUCGUCGAACGGUUUGUGCAAUCGUUCGGUUUGCUUUCUGCAAUCUCUAACGUUCUUACCGGCAUGUGGACAAAGCUUUUCCCGAUGAUUUCCUUCAGCUUCUGGUUAUUACUGCUCCGUCGAUUAUCCGAUGACCCGACUUCCGUUACGUUCCGUUCUGUUCUCGCGUACUGGCUAUAAAUUAUACGGAAUACCACUACCGUUGCCACGUUAGACCCAUUAAUGAUCCGAUCGUUAAUUUCAUUUCUAUUCUCGUUAUAGGUAGUCCACUAAAAUUUUCCAAUAAAGCCAAAACGCAGUCCCAAGAUUGUUGUAUAUACAUAUACCUAAAGUGAUCUAGCUCUCGUUUCAUAGUUUAUUCAAAAGUCACUUCGUGUAACUCGUAGACACACCUCUAUGUCGCGUGAGGCGUAACCACAUUAUUUACGAAAAUAAACCAUUCGAGAAUCACACGCGAUACAAACGAUUCCCUCUGGAUAUCAUAAUUGUAAAAACUUUUUCAAACGAAUUGACCUGUACAACGUUUUUUACAUGAGCGUUACGAAACAGUCCACAGUUAUUACUGUUUAAUACUGAUAGUUUCAGAUCACCUCUCGAUCCACAGAAUACUGUUCUACGUUGUAAGCCAUAAGACAAUGAUACCUCUAAAUUUAAAGUCGGACAGUAGCUAUAGAUAUAUUUUAACUUUGCACCAGCUGCUCGGUCUGCCCAGUCUCGACUCGUACUACUCAAUGUCCGUUAUGUUUGAUUCACUCUUGUACUCUACUACUCGUGUCAAACUGUAGCUACUCGCAUAGCUAUCGUCUACUGGGAACUAUAGUAGGAACAACAAAAUAAUUCUCGGUAGUUCCUAGUUCCUAUGAACGCUAUACUGAGGGAACAAUUCAUACAAAAAUAAGGUACGAGGAAUCGUUUAUGACGGUCUUUAUUGAUAUUCAAUUUGUGUGGCACUUCGUGGAUUUUCGUCAGUUACCCAGUGGCGUGAUGAGUCAUUCAUUUUAUUCAUCGGAAACUUCUCAGAACUUCAUUCGACCAAGUUCAAAUCACCGCUGAUUUAGCCACCUUCACUACAGUCGAACCGCGAAUUUCUCUUUAAUGGAAAGUUCCUCUCUUCUUGCAAGUCAUUCUUCGGCAAGGUUCUCAAGCUUUUUUAUUUUUGGUUAUGCCUGUAUCUUGACUGGGAACCUUCCACGAUAUAUUUGGAGCUUUAUUCAUUUUCACUGCCUGAGGAUCAACCUGAUCAUGCAUGUAAAUCACUGCUCGUACUCGUUACUCAUAUUACGUGUGAAUUGACUUCCGGUUAAUCGAGUGCCUCGUAAUUUCGCGUUAAGCAAAGGUAUUUCCGUAAUGGGAAACAACGAGGACUAAUGAGAAAAAAGAUAAGACUCGACAAGGCCGUAGGAGAGGUAAAACGUCAGUGGGAAUCCAGAGAUAAGUAAUGAGAGGGCUGAAUGAGAAAGAAGAAAAAUUUGAGGAGGAGACUCGAGAUUGAUGGGCUGCAUCGAGAGGAACAAACAACCAGAGGGCAACUGUUGCGCGGUUACUAAAAGUCUAAAAGUAUAUUUAUGCUUGUAAUAGGAAAGAUAUGAAUUUUAAAAAAAUAUCAAAAAUAUAUUUUCCAAAUUUUAUUUCAUUAUCUUUAAAACCAAAUUCAACAUUUCCUACAGCUUUGUCAGAUAUUUCAUUUGACUUUUUGAUUUGUCCACUGAGUUGCAGGUGCUACUAUCAAAUUUUUUUCCCAUCAGGAUUAUUUUCUAUGAUUCGUAAUUAAAUUGUGCCAUGUAAUUUUGAAAUAUUCAAUAAAGCCCUAAAGCUUCGAAAGCUCAUUUAGCCCGUUUGUUGUUUCAAUGUAUAUAUACAUACAUACCUCUUAGUAGAUAUCAAAACAUUAUUAGAAAACUUCGAUUAAACCUCAGAAAUUUGGUCGGCAUAAUUCCCACGCAAAUGUUUACUUCAAUAAGAUGUUUUUUCUGAUAUCAUCCCUAUGCACAACAUGGCACUAGGGCUCCCUCUUAAAUCAAAGAGAUCAAAUCUUUUAAGUUAUGAAAUCAUAAUGUUUACACUAUUCUUAUCCUUACGUCGCCAUGUGCUCAUGCGUAAAUAUUAAUUUAUUUAAUAAUAAAUAUAUAUAUAUAUAUUUACUUAACACAAACUUAGUGACUUUGAUAAUAAGACUGAAAAAGGAAAGCAAAUAGAAGCAAGGCAAUAAAAUGGAAUUACGCUAAAUUUCAUAUUCCAUUUUUCAGGACUUUGAAUAUGAUCUUCCUCGUUACAAAUACGCUUACCAUAUAGAGAUAUACAAUUGUAUACGGUUUUCAUAAGCACGUAAGUAAAGCUUCAGUGAACAUGAGCGUAGCCAUUGUUUGAGUUUUACAUUCUGUAUUCACUUCAGGCGUAUUGUUCAUACUUUAUGAAAGUCAGGCAUUGAGCUUUUUUUUUCUUUAUAUAUCUUCAAAUCAGCAUAUUUCUAGCACGAUAAAUGUCACACAAAAAGCGAAUCUACAAAAAGACAAUUUCAUGCCAACAUUUUAUCUGAUUAAUCCUCGCAUAGCAAAAAGUCAAUUAAAAAUCAUCUCCACUGAUGAAAUCUAAAAAUAACAAAUACUUACAUAGAUACGGUUAUAAUUCGAAUAUAUAGAUGUUACAUAAUAAACCUUUGAAAUAAUUUUUUUAGAACAAAAAAACUCAAAUGGCACAUCCAUUUUUCAUUUUGUCCUCAUUUCUGAGUUUAAAAAGCGUGUUUGUCUGUCUUGAAAGAAAAGUAUCUGCACAUUUGAGAGUUAAACCCGAAAUACAUUUUUUCCCACGUGACGCCAGGUUUUGAUAUUUACAUAUAAGUGCGAGAAAGAUAAAAAAAUGCAUAUACAGAUAUACCACGUACAAUGUAAAUAUCGCCAAGCUUGGCGUCGCGUGGAACCAGUGUGUUCCCGCCUUUAAGCAUAUACAUAUAUGGAUCAUAUGCCGAGCGAAGCAAAGUGUACGAGCAGUUGCAGCUGUAUUGAUCAGACAGGGCAGCCGUUCCAUAAAUGUAGGUACAGAGUGGUAAACGGGAUAUCAACCUCCAUUACAUAUUAAUUAUUAAUAGUACCUAAUAGUACUUUCAAUUUAUUUUUAAAAAUUGUUCUCCUUCAGAAUGGGACAAGCAUCCGCUUAAGGAAUAAGAUAUGUGGAAAUAAAAAUUUGAUAA